CCGCGGUAGCACGCCGUCGACGAGUGCCUAGAGCUUCUCCAGCUCCUCCAGUUGUUCGUCGAGCUAGUCUACCCAAUGUUAUAACCUUGAGCCAACCAACUACUUAAGAAUCGGUUCAGUUUACAUAGUUUGACACGACUGAAGUUCCUCUGACGACUAUGAUAUCGUUUCGAACCCAAGUUUUACAAGGACCCGCACUGACGUUGACAUUGGUUAACCCUACGACUCCCAUGUUGAACGUCGAAACAUAACCUCCUGUUGGGUGAACAUCUAAAACAACUCGAAGGACUAUGAACGGUUCCAGAAGUCAUAACGUUACACAACUCACCUCAAUAGUCCCCUCGUGACCUUUACCAAAGGUACUUCUGCCUCCAAUGUACCCAGGCACUAUACGAAGCGCCCCUACUACGGAUGCUCUACGCCCACUUCGAGUGGUUCGUUCAGGGUCUCCUUAUGGGGAUGUUCCUACUACUGAUCAAAGUAGAGUUCCCCAUCGAGAAGGCGUUCCACCGCGAACAAACGAACAGACCUAUAGGCAAAACGAAAGGGACACCGACAUUAAGACCAUGUUGGCAGUACAAAUGUACUCCUUGGACAAGUAACAUAAAACGUCGACCUGACACAUGGCGUCUACAUAACAUCUCUAGAACAUACCGAAAGGACGAAACCUUGUCACGGACCUUUACUUCACAAAAAUGAGACUAAUCGACGGUUUAGAAAAACCUUAUUUGACCAGACCUUUUCUAGAAGGCCUCGAGUAGCUGUUUCGUAAAAGCCGAUACUUCAAUAUGUGAAGAGUCUAAUUUUUGAAGACAUUGAACUUCAAGAUCUAAACAGGAUACAGUCUGGAAAACUUUAAACUGGUUCAUAUG
Molecule: ribosomal RNA, 872 nt
Filed under: Triticum aestivum (bread wheat)
Lineage: Eukaryota; Viridiplantae; Streptophyta; Magnoliopsida; Poales; Poaceae
Description: partial small subunit ribosomal RNA
Source: RNAcentral